This 73-nucleotide transfer RNA is filed under the name Ovis aries (sheep). It matches the Rfam family "tRNA". From Rfam's summary of the family: Transfer RNA (tRNA) molecules are approximately 80 nucleotides in length. Their secondary structure includes four short double-helical elements and three loops (D, anti-codon, and T loops). The record is from Rfam by way of RNAcentral. Lineage: Eukaryota; Metazoa; Chordata; Mammalia; Artiodactyla; Bovidae.
UCCCUGGUGGUCCAGUGGCUAGGACUCUUGUGCUUCCAAUGCGGGGGCCCAGAUUCAAUCCCUGGUCAGGGAA